GGAUUCAUUGAUUUUUGAUAGUCUGCUAAGCCAAGCUAAAGCCAAACCGUAUUGCAAUUUUCACCGAAUCCCUCUUCUGUUGGACUGUGACCCUGGCCAAAAGCUUAUCCCCAUUCCUUAGCAACAAGUAAUCUGAUUUCUCAUUCACAAACUCACAAACCGCCACUUCUAUCCAGAAAUUUAUAUCAUUAAACAUGAACGGCGAUGAUGCUUACGGUGUAUUUGAGGCACAGUACAUAUGGAGACACCACAGACACCAGCCUGGAGAAAACCAGUGCACUUCUGUUCUCGUCAAGCACAUCAAAGCUCCUGUUCAUCUCGUUUGGUCGCUGGUGAGGCGAUUCGAUCAGCCACAGAAGUACAAGCCAUUUGUGAGUAGGUGCGUUGUGAAUGGGGAGAGUGGAGAGCCUGGGAUAGGAAGUGUUAGGGAAGUGAAUGUUAAAUCUGGACUUCCUGCAACCACUAGCACCGAGAUGCUGGAACUCCUUGACGAUGAGGAGCACAUUCUCGGAAUCAAGAUUGUUGGUGGUGAUCAUAGGCUGAAGGUAUACAUUCUAUCCACUUCUAUAUUUAUCAUUAAUCAUUAUCAUUAUUAAGUUUUGUAUCGUCGAGAUGCUGUUUAGGUCCUGUUAUUUAAAUUUUGUUUGAGAAUUAGAGAAGGUGGUCGAGUCUGCGUACAAGUUUUCUGUAGUUAUUUAAUGGAUUGAUCAAUUAGAUUACUUGAUCAUUCAUUUUUUGCUUCUUUGAAAGUUUUGCAGUCUUUUCUGAAUUUGGUGAGAGUUUACUAUUUCCAUUAUCAUGGCAUUUUGCCUUCUGGAGGUAUGAACUUGAAUUUGGGUUUUGGGUAGUGUAUAAUGGGUCAUCUCAUAGACAGCUCCAUGUCACCAAGUGAUCACUGUUCUAGCUUCCCAGCUCUCUAUUUUAAUGUGUAAAGCAAUUGAGGGAGUCUCGAAAACUACAUGUAGGAUGAGAUGGAAUUUGGUGAUUUCUGAUCUUGCAUGUGAUUGCCAGUUUUGUUGUUAUAGGAGUCGUCUUGUACUGGUUUGGGCAAUAUUCCAAUGGUUGUCUUAUUUUUAGGUUAUUUUAUUGUAGGGGCCUUGAUAUUACUAGUCAUGUAGUGCAGUUUUGCAUUUGGGAGCUACAAUUUGGUGCCAUCUCUUUAUCUUUAUGCUAUAGUGUGUAACUUGUGAAAUUGCCUUACCCCCUUUAUUUUAAAGAGUGAAUGGAAUAUUAUAUAGUGGAAUAUUAAGAUACAUGCAUGCUUUUGGAGAUUGUGGUUUUUUCUAUGAAACGUAUAUUGUUCAAGCAGGCAAUCCUCUUUUCCUUGAUGAUUUGGGACAAGAACUUGACAUCCAUAUCAUUUGUUGCGUUCGCAUGCAUGCAUUCUAGCACGUGCAUGUCCAUUGGUUGACAGGGCAUUUGGAAUCUGCCACUGAAGCUUCUGAUUUUGAGAUUUUGCGAUUUCUUGUAUGAAAAAUAUCUGAAACUUUUAUGCCGCAAUGCUUUUUGCUGAUAUUGUUCCAAUCUCUCUCAUUCUAUUUUCCCCAUUUCUUGAUUUUGCAGAACUAUUCGUCAAUUAUGACUGUCCAUCCAGAGGUUAUUGAUGGAAGACAUGGGACAUUAGUUAUAGAAUCAUUUGUGGUGGAUGUGCCUGAUGGGAACACCAAGGAUGAGACAUGUUACUUUGUGAAGGCUCUCAUCCAGUGCAAUCUCAAAUCUUUGGCUGAUGUCUCAGAGAGGAUGGCGUUGCAGGGCUGGGUUGAACCCAUCAAUCGAUUCUGAAUAGGUGGUUUCUGAAUAUGUAAAGUCAUUAGGAUGGCUGUGCCAUUUGAGGGUUCUGAUUCCAGAGGCUUUGUAGAGAUUGGUGGGAGUACUCCUUCCAUAUUUCCAGAAGUUUUGCAUGCAAUUCACCUCAUGGAGACCCUUUCUGCCUGCUUUUGCUUUUCCCUGCAUUAGUAAUUAGGUUUUUUAGACAAGUUUCCUGAGAACUUCCUAUGAAUGGAAAACGAUCGGCUUUUUUCCACUGUUGCUUUUACUAGUUUUUGCAUGAUGCUAUGUAAAUUACCAUGGCCGUUUCUGUAAAUAUCCGUGUAACGCAGAUGGUGCCUUUUGGACUGUAGGUUUUUAUCUCUUUGCAGCUUCCGGGUGCAGGGAUUACUGGUGACGGACAUGAAGUAGCAGUGCUUUGUUGAUUUUGAUUUUGUAAUGUCCUUUUUAGCGCACUAUUGCAAAAAAUUAUUAACCUUUCUGAGUCGGGUUAUGUGUAUGCUUCGAAUCAUGCAUGAGCUUAUACUGCAGCAUUUUAGUGCAGAAAUUGCUGUGAAUCUUACUGUUUUCAUUUGGACCCUCUAGGUUAGUUUGUGUCCUCUCUCACAUGGCUGUAAAUUUCAGGUCUGUUUGCUUUCUAAAAUGUGGAAGCGCAACGAGGAAGGUACGGGUAGUGAGAAGGCUGAUUACGUGGAUUAAAUUAAGCGUCUAAAAGUUAUUAGGUUUGUGAUUCCAAGGAGGCUUCCAUAACAUUUUGAAAGAGGCAGAAGAUUGACCGGUGAUAGGUUUAACUAUGAAGUUGAAUGCGUUAAUUAAAUCGAUAAUGAUGAAUCUGAAAUUAAAAUAGAGGGUGAAAAGGUUAAGAUUAAUUAGUUGUUCAUAUUGAUAAGUGGGCAAAUAAUUAUUCAAUUUUGUAGUAAAAGUUUAUUGAAUUAAAUAAAUUUCACUUGCC
This 2719-nucleotide unclassified non-coding RNA is filed under the name Hevea brasiliensis (rubber tree). Lineage: Eukaryota; Viridiplantae; Streptophyta; Magnoliopsida; Malpighiales; Euphorbiaceae. The record is from RNAcentral.